This 465-nucleotide ribosomal RNA is filed under the name uncultured bacterium. RNAcentral describes it as "bacterial SSU rRNA". It matches the Rfam family "Bacterial small subunit ribosomal RNA", at positions 330 to 792 of the family's 1533-position model. The record is from RNAcentral.
ACCAGACUCCUACGGGAGGCAGCAGUGAGGAAUAUUGGUCAAUGGGCGGGAGCCUGAACCAGCCAAGUCGCGUGAGGGAAGACGGUCCUACGGAUUGUAAACCUCUUUUGCCGGGGAGCAACGGGGUCCUUGCGAGGGCCCGAUGAGAGUACCCGGAGAAAAAGCAUCGGCUAACUCCGUGCCAGCAGCCGCGGUAAUACGGAGGAUGCGAGCGUUAUCCGGAUUUAUUGGGUUUAAAGGGUGCGCAGGCGGGCUGUUAAGUCGGCGGUCAAAUGUCGGGGCUCAACCCCGGCCUGCCGUUGAAACUGGCGGCCUCGAGUGGGCGAGAAGUAUGCGGAAUGCGUGGUGUAGCAGUGAAAUGCGUAGAUAUCGAGAGGAACACUCGUGGCGAAGGCGGGUUCCUGAACAUUAACUGACGCUGAGGCACGAAGGCCAGGGGAGCGAAAGGGAUUAGAUACCCGGGUA